GCCACAACCAAAAAAAAGAGGUGAUAGCAAUUGGCAACAUAAAUGAGCAAAAAUGGCUGCUUCAGGACAAGGCUCCUAGGUUUCAAAUCCAGUUCAGAUAGAAGCCACAGCUCUGUGGCUGAGAGAAUCUAUUUAACCUCAGGAAACUAAUCUACAAGCCAAGGCCCAGGACAUUAUCAAGAACACCACCCUCUGAGGCUUUUGAAAGAAAUUGAAACAGAACAUGAAUGCAACAAUGCCUUGAUUCCGGGUAUAGCUCUCAGCUCCAGCAACAAGCAUGCCACCACGGACCCUCCGUGAUGAUCAUGGAAUAAGCCUCUGAAACUGAAACAAGUCCCCAAUUAAAUGCUUUCUUUUAUAAGAGCUGUCGUGGUCAUGGUGUCUCUUCACAACCAUAGAACAGGGACUAAGGCACCACCCUGAACACCACGAACCACACCUAACAGGCCAAUGAGACUGCAACGGAGGGGCCGUGGACAGCUGUGGGUGCUUUCUGCCAAGCUUGAUGACCCAAGCUCGGUCCCGGAAACCCACAUGGAGGACGGAGAGAACUCCUGAACAUCGCUCCCUGACCACCACGCCACGUGUGACAUGGUGCAUGUAUAUGUACACACACACAAUUUACAGUUUUAAUUAUACUAGUUGCCACUAUAUAAUUUACAUGUAAAAACAAUGCUCUCAUUUAGGGAACACCCCUUGUGCUUCCUCUGAGGUGACCUUUACUAAGAAGCUAGGUGGCACCAGUGGCCAUUGCAGGACACUGGGAUAAGAACUCCCUCCUCUUAGCCAGUGCUCACACAUCUGUAAUCCAGCACUCGGAGGCAGAGGCAGGUGGAUCUCUAUGAGCUUGAGGCCGGCCUGGUCUACACCAAGUUCCAGGCCAGCCAGAGCUACACAGAGAGACCUUGUCUCAAACUGUCCCCCCAAACACCUCCCCCACACACACAUCCACACACACACACAGCCAUUGGUUCCAAGAACUUCCUCCUCUUGUCCCCACCAUCUUCAAAGGAAAGUUGCUAGUUACUCACCAAGGCCUUUCCAGCCUGGCCCCAAGACACUUCCUUACCCUUCUCAAGCCAUACACACCUGUGCCCUACAGAGUCCCACGUGACCAAGGCCCUGGUGCCGUGCUCUUGAUGGCCAGGACCCGGCAUACAGGCAAAGCUGUAGAAACAGAAGCAGGAGGUUUACACCUUCAGUGGAUGUGGGUAGGGACAUCUGCCCCUGGUCUCCAGAAAUGCAGACCAGAAAGUGUGGAGUCCAAUUCAAUUACCCACAGCCUGCUCUAGGCCUCGAAUGUCCUUACCUCCUCUCCAAGCCCACUUUCUCACUGGACUUCGAGGAAAAGGCCCUUUGCAAGAUGGAAAGGAAACAUAAAAGAGACAACCCCCAGGAGGGCCGGUGUGGGAAUCUUCUUUAUUCCAGUCAUCAUUAUCCUAGUUGUCAGUCAGGAUGGCUGCCAUUCAUGACAACUUCCUGACUGCUUCAUUCUACCUGCAGUGGCUCUUAAAGGCACAACCACCAAAAACAGGCAGGUGAGUUACAUGGGAUGCUCCAAAGGACCAUUCUGCUGGGGUUCACCAUGCAGCCUCUCUCAGCAGAAGCCACAUGUAGAUGUGUUCCUCACUGUGUUUCCUGGGCAGAGACCUGGGGAACAAAGGCACCCACACC
Long non-coding RNA from Peromyscus californicus insignis, 1674 nucleotides. RefSeq lists it as uncharacterized. The record is from RefSeq and is a predicted model, not a curated record. Lineage: Eukaryota; Metazoa; Chordata; Mammalia; Rodentia; Cricetidae. The transcript has 2 exons.